AGUGACAGAGUUAGGGAGGGAAGGGGUGACUAGUGACAGAGUGAGGAAUGGGGUGACUAGUGACAGAGGGGGGCUAUCGACAGAGUGAGGGAGGUGGUGACUAGUGACUAGUGAGAGUCACCACCUCCCUCACUCUGUUACUAGUCACCACCUCCCUCACUCUGUCACCAGUCAUUCCCUCACUCUGUCACUAGUCACCCCUUUGUUCCCUCACUCUGCCACUAGUCACCCCUUCCCUCACUCUGUCACCUGUCACCACCUCACUUUGUCA
Non-coding RNA from Pelobates cultripes (western spadefoot toad), 271 nucleotides. The record is from the annotation of a GenBank genome assembly. NCBI's taxonomy places the organism in Eukaryota, Metazoa, Chordata, Amphibia, Anura, Pelobatidae.